GUUCGCCCAUGAAAGCGGCACGCGAGCUGGGUUAAGAACGUCGUGAGACAGUUCGGUCCCUAUCCGUCGCGGGCGUUGGAAAUUUGAGAGGAGCUGUCCUUAGUACGAGAGGACCGGGAUGGACUUACCGCUGGUGUACCAGUUGUUCUGCCAAGGGCAUUGCUGGGUAGCUAUGUAGGGAAGGGAUAAACGCUGAAAGCAUCUAAGUGUGAAGCCCACCUCAAGAUGAGAUUUCCCAUUUCUUUAAGAAAGUAAGAUYCCUGAGAGAUGAUCAGGUAGAUAGGUCAGGAGUGGAAGUACAGUGAUGUAUGGAGCGGACUGAUACUAAUCGAUCGAGGACUUAACCAAU
Molecule: ribosomal RNA, 349 nt
Filed under: Enterococcus faecium
Lineage: Bacteria; Bacillati; Bacillota; Bacilli; Lactobacillales; Enterococcaceae
Description: bacterial LSU rRNA
Rfam family: Bacterial large subunit ribosomal RNA
Source: RNAcentral